This is a long non-coding RNA of Quercus robur (English oak), 928 nucleotides long. RefSeq lists it as uncharacterized. The record is from RefSeq and is a predicted model, not a curated record. Lineage: Eukaryota; Viridiplantae; Streptophyta; Magnoliopsida; Fagales; Fagaceae. The transcript is spliced from 2 exons.
CUUCAUCAUCCUUAUUCAAUCUCUUCAUCUUCAUUUUGCAAACAACACAUAAUUAUGAUGUAAAAGAAUAUCCCUAAAGACAUAGCGGCACCAUUCUCUACCAAGGUGUGCCUCCUUUAGUUACAUAUUUGGUUACCUGGCCUUGUUGCUGUGAAGUAAUUGGUGGUGCCCAAGAUAUAUUUCCACCUUGCAAUUUGGUCUUCUUUUAUUAUGAUAUUUGUCUUUUAUUGAUCAUAUUUGUCUGCUUCUGGUGCAUAAUGUUUGCUUAGCUUAACAUCAAUCAAGUGCCAAGUAAGGUUACCUUCAAUGUUUUGGAAUGGCUUAAGACCUCUGUUGUUAAAUAGUAAGGCCCAAUUUCUUUCUGUCUUGAUUUUAUGUUUGGGUUAUGUACCAUAUCCUUAGAUGUUCAAUUUUGUUUUUUGUUUUUCAUUUCCCUUUUUUUGUUGCUUUGGUGAAGGCAUAUUAAUAUUGGAAUGUACUAGAAUCUAUGAUGGUUUUUAUAACAUAUAUUUGCUAUGUAUGCUGAAUCCGUGUAUUAUAACUUUUUGACCGAAAAACGAAAAUCUUGAGUUCAAUUUGAAUGAAGAUUCAAGAUGAUAUUGAGGUUUCCCUAAAUAAAUUAUUUUUAAAAAAAAGAGAUGAUAUUAAGGUUAUAUAUAAAAGCUGGGUGAGCUGUAAAUCAACUUGAAGGAAUAGACUUAAAUAAGAUUCUUAUUAUUUCCAAUCUUUAGGUUUGAUAUAUGAAUAUGGAGGGAAGGUAUAGAGAAUCACUGUAUUAUGUCUGUAAGAACCAAGUACAAGAACUCUGGGCCUUAGAUCCCUUGGGCUCACAAUUUAUUUGUAGUGGGUUUAUGGAUUUCCUACAAUGGGUCGUUCUCGGCAGAGAGACUCAAAGCAACAUUCAGUUGAAAAGCUCUCUCCUUGACUA